Molecule: RNA transcript, 9339 nt
Organism: Ictalurus punctatus (channel catfish)
Lineage: Eukaryota; Metazoa; Chordata; Actinopteri; Siluriformes; Ictaluridae
Gene name: caskin-1
Exons: 12
Source: RefSeq, a predicted model, not a curated record
ACUGUAUUCUGUUUUUAUUUACACUUUACACAGUGUCCCAAGUUUUUUUUGGAAUUGGGGUUAUAUAUUUGUUUUACUUUUUUCUCUUAAAACAUUUCUGUAUGUCACUUGAUUUUCAUAUGUUGCAGUUUCACAACGAAGGUGAGAAAAAGUUCUGAUCUCAUUUCAUUUGUUGUUUACAUCUGUUACAAAAAAUGUUAGAGGACACUGCGGCGUGGCUUGUAAGUGGUCACAUGACUUUGUUUUGGUUCGUUCACUUCCUGGUUGAGUAUUGGGUUAUGUUUGAGUGUCUUUAAUUUGCCCCAGGUGUCCAUGCUUUAGUUUGAUUGUGUUUUUUAUUUAAACCCCUCGUGUGGCUGCGCAUUUUGCGUAGUAUUAAUCUAAGGUCUCCUGAGUUUCCGUUUAUGUUUGAACAUGGUAGAAUGUAUGUUUAGCAUGCUAGUGGUCGUAGGUAGAGAACCAGUGUUUAACUAUAGUCAGUAUAGACUGCGCUCCCUGUGUUUGUGUAUGUUUGAGUUUGUUAAUAAAGACUUUGACCUGCACUGACCGCCUCCAGUCCUGAUCCGUAACAGAAUACUGCGCCAAUAAUGCGGAAGCAGCCAAAGCGGCCGAGUUUGAGGCGUGGCGCCAUUCGUUCGAGGAACAGUGCAAACAGCUCACCGAGGAAAUUGCUCAGCUCCACUGCCUUCUAAAGCCACUGCAGCAAGCCGGGCUAUGCGCCACGCCACCAUCCGCGCAAUUUCUCACGCCCACGCUGCUGGAGAACUACGCCGUGCAACGCGGCCAGCAGAGCUACCCGAACUCCUGGGGCCUCCAACGCCAUACAGCCAGCAAAGCUACUUGAACUACUGGAGCUUCCCACUGCAGGGGAAUUGUACCACGCUACCCAGCCUGGAACCGAAGGCUGGCCUAGAACUUUUAUUUUGGGGGGCUACGACGACGACGACAGCAGAGCUCCAGCCUAAGGCCUACAGGGAGUUCUCAGCUGUGGAGCUCCUGCCUGAGGUCAACAUGGCAACUUCAGAGCUGCAGCGUGAGGCCUACGGAGAGACCUCAGCUGUGGAGCUCCUGCACGCCGAAGAAGCUGUCCCGCUGCCCUGCCUAGCCGAGGAUUGUUGAAGUGGGAGAGAUCGACUUGAGGCAGAUCUGAGAGAUUUAACGAUCCGUCAUGCAGAGAUCACCCAUCUCAGAAUCCUUGUUCACGGAGUGGGUAAUGCUGGAAAAUCCAGCUUCAUCAACUCUGCUAACAGUGUCUUUCAGCACCGUGUAACGGACAGAGCCGGAGCAGCAUGGAGUUCAAGCACGAGUUAUACGAAACGAUUUAAUCCUGUGUCCUUUACGAGAUGGUGGUCCACGGUACAUUAACGCCCCCACUCUGAAUGAUAAAGUUCACUGUCUGGUGAGCGUUAUGUCAGCACAAACCCUCCCUGUCAUGUAUGAUUCUGUCAUCAAAAGCAUUAAGGAUGUCAGGGAACAGGCCAGUGACCUUGGUAUCCCCCAAGUGCUGAUCUUGACACAUUGAGUGCUGUCCACUGGUUAAGGAAAACUUGAGAAAAGUCUACUUCAGCAAGAAAAUUAAGGACAAGGUAUCCCUCAAAAGGUUGUCCUGAAAGAUGUUGAUUCAGCGUGCUCAUUAGUUAGCAAUGAUAUAAGGACCAUCUACAAAAGCAGGCGUGUUAAGGAAAGGCAAGUCCAAAGAAAAGAUAUUUUUGCACAUGUGCACAACAGCUGGUCAGUGUGGGAAACAUCUUUGAAGCAUAUACAUAUACCUGACAACAUUAAUCAACAAUAAUAGCAUUAAAAAAUGUUUAUGUAUGUAUAUUACAAUCUUGUAGAGAUAUUUCCAAAAUAUCCCCACAAGCUGCAGAUUAAGCUGACUCAACUUAAUCGAACUAUUCACCACAACCGACAAAUACUGUAUCUAGCCAUUUUAUCUUGUAAUAUAAGUGUAAAAAUUAAUCGUUUAAUUUAAUCUAGUAAAUAUGAGAAAAAAAAUUGCUAGUCAGAAUCCAAAUUAAGGACAUCAUGUGAGAGCCUUUUCAAUCUGGUUCCUCUCAAUUGUUUCUUGCUGAUGUCGUCUCAGGAGGUUUUUCCUUGCCACACUCGCCUCUUGAAUUGCUCGCUAAGGAAUCGACUUAAACUUGAAUUUAAAUGUAAAGUUCAAAGCCAGAUCUCUGUAAAGUUGCUUUGUGACAACGCCCAUGACUCUUCGGGUAAUCUUCAAGGUUGUGCACUGCUGAAUUUGAAGGAGAUGGCCUCUUUAAUCAGCAUUGUGUGAGAAAUAGAGUACUUCUGGAAAACAAUAAAAUGUGUGUGUGUUUGUGCGAGAGGGGGAGAGAGAGAGGGAGAGGGCUGGUUACCAAGUGAAAGCACAGAAUGAUUCCAUAUUUUGUGUAACAGUUAUACUGAGCUCAGACUUGGAAGAUCAGCUUCAGAGGAAGAAAAUCGAACAAAAUGGGUGGAGAGAAUUCGAAACCAAAGCCUCCAGAAGACUUUGAAGAAUCAGACUUUGAUGAACCAUGGAGAAACGUGGACUGGAAGAUUUUUCAACCACGAUUCAGUUAAAUGAAUAAAAAAUGUGAGGAUGGGAGUCCACACCAGCUUAUGUACCUCCACCAACUCCACCAGGGUCACGGGGAAACCUGGAGCCUAUCCCAUGGAGCAUCGGGCACAAGGCGGGUACACCCUGGACAGGGUCCCUUAUAUGAUGUCACAUGAAAUUAAGUGAUGUUAUUUAUAUCACAGUUCCUAUGCAAGGCCUUUUUAAAAUAACUGAAAAGUUUUGAUCUUCACUUAUCAGGAUUGUCCCAAUUCACCUGAAGUCACCCUGCACAUUACCUUACAGGGCUCAAUAACCGUGUUGUAUAAUUUUUUAACAAAGUUGAUCAUUAAUAUUAUCCAAUGAUAGCUAGAUGAUUAUCUAUGGCCUUUUGUGUUUGUAAAAUGCUUUUACUUUCCAUUUGCAUUGGAAUUGAGGCCAAAUGAGAGGCUAGAUGUCCAUGUCCAUGUCCGUGUGUGUGUGUGUGUGUGUGUGUGUGUGUGUGUGUGUGUGUGUGUGUGUGUGUCAGAAACAGAAAGUGUGCUAGGAUUCAAAAACUGAAGGUAUGAAAGUGGGAACUGGGGAAGCUGCUCUAACAGUCGACCCAGUCAGAAGCUUCUAGGUUAGACUGCACAGAGUAACCAGCUCGGGAUUCAAUGGAAUUUGACCUUUAAAUAAGGGAAGCCAGGAAUAACAACACAACCAGGUUUGUGUUAAAAAGAAGUGGUAUAUUGUAACACACAAAAUUAUAUACAUAUUACUGUACAAGGAACCAAACCAGGCGUAACUUCAGGGUGGGCCAAGGCCAAAAUAAUAGAAAACAAAGAAUUCUAUUGUUAGGUAGCAAUCUUACCUUAAAGGAAAAUAAAGAAAAUACAAGGAUACUUCCCUAACUACCUAAGCAAAAAAAAAAAAAAAAAAAAAAAAGACAAAAAGGACCCUCUCUCAAAAGAAAUGGCAACCACACCCCUAUUUCCGGUGAACCUAGUGAACAUAUAUACAGUGGUGGAUAGAAUGAACAAAAAGGGUACAGGGACAACCAAACUCAAAGUCAAAAACCAGAACAGCAGUCAGAAUAUAGCAUAAAGCAGCACAAUCAAACACAAUCUCUAAACACCAACACAUGUAACCACCUCCAACAUCCCACACCAUUCUCCCUCCUCUUCCUCUUUAAAUAUGGUUGUCAUCCUGGGAGGCAGGAGAAAGGCAGGCUAGGGCAGGCUGGAAACUCUGGGAGGGAGUUCGACCUGCACACAAAAAAACUUCCCAUUCCAAAGAUAGUGGGUUGUAACAUACACACACACACACACACAAGUUUAAAAACAUCUGAUGAUCAGGGCCGAUUAUAUCCUGUCAAUCAAAAGAGGGCGGGAAAACACAUGGAUUUCGUGCUGUGUGUAAAGAUGUCGUCUCUUGUGUGGAAUGAUGACAAAUCUGCAGUUUGUAAACUCUGCAAUGUCUGUCAUCUCUGCACUAAUAACAGAAGUAAAUUUUACGACAGAGGAGUUUCAGUGUCGAGUCGAUCCCCGCCCCCCUGAAUUAAAAGGCCAGUACACGUUGAAAGAUUUAAAUGAAGACGAGUUGGCAAAAAAAAGUAUAUAUAUUGUACAUAACAUAUUUGUAAAGUAAUAUAUCUCAUAAUCAAUGUUAAUAUGAAUUAAUAACAUUCAAUAAGUGAAGAAAUCUUACUUUAAUCUUCAGAAUUGAGUUCCUGUUAAUGCGAGUAAUGUGUUUUCUGUUCAUGAGACCAGUUACCGUGAAACAACUUGCUGAAAUGGACAGAAUAAGGUUUUUAUUUGCAAUUCCUUCAGAAUUCUUUUAAAUUAAUUAUUAUUAAUUUAAAAGAAGGAACAGAUGGCAGAACUAUGGGUAUCGGCCGAUAUCACUCUGAAUAAUCGCUUAUCGGUAUCGGCUGAGAAAUUUAUUAUCGGUGCAUCUGUAAUAUAUUAUUAUUAUUUAUAGCUUCUUUUUUUUUUACUGGAACUAACAGUCAAAAUCUACUUUUCCCAUCAGCAUUGUUCAACUGGAUUCAUUGAACUGAAUAAAAUGGGAGGGCCUGAGACUAAAAUUCCUCCAUAUAUUUCUCCUCCACCAUCUCCAUCACCACCUCCAGGAGUCUUAGUCUUAUAAUAUUUAAUCAGAUGAUGAUCAAUAUGUUAACCUUAAUAUUACAUACUGAGACUGUUUAUUAUUUACUCCCGAUUUAGACUAGUUAUUAAUGAAUUUAUUUUCCCAAUUAUGGGAGUUAAUCUAGGAGUGAGAAUGUGUAACGAACGAGUACGUGAUGUGACUCGACUAAAAUCAUGGAGCACAGCAUAAAAUAAACAUUAAUAUUGAUGAUAGUCAAGGCACACAUGUAAAGGACAUCAUCACAGCCUUAAAGGGGUUUCUUGAGGAAGGAUAUAAAGCAGGGGUGUCCAAACUACGGCCCGCGGUCCAGUUUUUAUUGGCCCGUGGCAAAUUCUGAAAAUAUAAUUGAAUAUGGCCCACACUAGAAGCUUGAGCUCGACUCUGUUGCACUUCUCAGUUUCAACACUAGAUGGAGCCAGCCACGGAAACGGUGCUUCUCAACCGUUACCGCUACUAAACAAAAUUAAGCAAAGAAAAACUUUUACCACGAGUCACCAUAAAUGGCAGCACCCAAAAAAUGAAAAAUAGCAAGUGAGUGUAGAAGAUUUCAAACACGGUGGGAAAAUGAAUAUUUUUCAAAGAAAUCAAUGGAAAGUGUGUCUGUUUGAUCUGCAAUGAAGAUGUUGCUGUGAUGAAAGACUAUAAUGUCCGUCGGCACUAUGAAACCAAACAUCAGAGCUACACAUCGUACACCGGUGCCGAACGAACACAGAAAGUCAAGCAAAUGGCAGCUAGCCUGCAAGCUCAACAACAGUUUUUUUUUUCGGUGCCAAAAAAAUACAGGAAAACGCCACAACAGCAAGCUAUGAAGUCGCUAAACUUAUUGCCCAGCACGGUAAACCGUUCUCAGACGGUGGUUUCAUAAAGCAGUGCCUCAUCAAAGUCACAGAAAUAAUGUGCCCGGAGAAAGUGCAGGAUUUCAACAACGUGAGCUUAUCCAGAAAUACAGUGGUGCGAAGAAUCGAGGACUUGUCAGCUAACUUGAAACUUCAGCUGAGAGACAAAGCUUGUGCUUUUGAUUUUUACUCGAUAGCAUGCGAUGAGAGCACAGAUGCUACAGACACUGCACAGCUGUUGAUGAUAAUUUUUGUUGUACUGAGGAGCUGCUUGAUAUAAGCCUAAAAGGCACAACGACGGGUAGAGAUAUUUUUGAAGCUGUGUCAGAGGUAGUUGAAAAGAUGCGGCUUAAAUGGGACAAGCUCUGUGGAAUAACAACGGAUGGAGCUCCGCCCAUGACGGGCGAUCGUAAAGGAAUGGCAUCGAUGGUGUGCGCCAAGGUAAAAGAGAGCGGAGGUGAGGCUUUUAGGAUGCACUGUAUAAUCCACCAAGAAGCACUGUGUGCCAAGACUGUCCAGCUGGGCGAUGUGAUGAACACUGUUGUAAAAACUGUCAACAUAAUUCGAGCUAGAGGUCUGUACCACAGAGAAUUUCAAGCUUUCCUUUCUGAAGUGGAUGCUGGAUACGGGGAUGUACUCUACCACUCUGAGGUGCGCUGGCUGAGCCGCGGCUAUGUGCUGCAGCGGUUUUAUUCGAUGAGAUCAGAAAUCGAUCGGUUUGUGAAAGAAAAGGGCCGACCUCUUCAUGAAUCGAGUGACCCUCUGUGGCUAGCCGACCUGGCAUUUUUAGUUGAUCUUACUCAUCAUCUGAAUACACUGAACAAGAACCUACAAGGCAAAGAACAGCUGGUGCCACACCUGUAUGCGCACAUGAAAGCCCUCAGUGUAAAGCUCCACCUGUCUGAGACGCAACUACGAAGCUUUAAUGCUGCACACUUCCCUGUGCUGUCUGAAAUCAAGUCUGCUUUUCCAAAGGCCGACCUUUCUGAUAAAAAGGAGAAAUGUGUUUGUGAUUACAUCUCUCGUGACAGAAUUCAACAUGCGUUUCCAAGAUUUUUCUGUCAUUGAAAAACAAAUCAAGCUGUUCUCGACCCCCUUCCUGGUGGAUGCAGAAGAAGUGGAAGAGAGUCUGCAGUUAGAACUGAUUGAAAUGCAAUGCGAUGAUUCUCUGAAGAGUCAACAUCAGCUUCUCUCCCCCCUUGACUUCUAUCAGAGUUUGGAUAGUGCCAAGUUUCCUCUGAUGAGACGCCACGCAAAAAGAAUGAUGAGCCUGUUCGGCUCAACAUACAUCUGCGAACAAGCAUUUUCUCUGUUAAAUCAGAACAAAAGCAGAUUGAGAACCAGAAUGGCUGAUAACCAUCUCUGUGAAGUCCUUCAUGUCUCAACCACCAAACUUUCUCCUGACAUUUCAGCCAUCCUUCAAUCCAAAGGACAGCGUCACUGCUCCCACUGAGUGCAAUGUUCUUCACAUUAUAGGUGAGUUAGAAAUAGACACACUGUUACGACACCUGUGCCACCUACAGGCCUGUUCGUUCCACUGCACGGGCAGUGCAGUUCCAGUUAUUAACCUGACUCUUUGCAAACACACACAACUGACAUUGUAUUUAAUUCAUGCCACACUUUUUACUUUAAUAAUAAACAGUUCUUUAUUCAUUAUAAAUUUUAAACCCUAAACUGUUUGCUCGUAUUCAUGUGUCAAUAUUUCACCUCUAGUGUGUGGCCCGGCCCUUUGUUUAUUUUUCUGUAUUUGGCCCUCACUAAAAAAAAGUUUGGACACCCCUGAUAUAAAGUGAGGGGAACAUUUUACUCUCACAAUAUGACACAAAACCGUUAUUUUUAGCAUUGUUACGGUAUAUAAUGUUAAUAUAUAUGACGUUAGAAUACUGUUCAUGUAGUCAGUCUUUAUAGUACAGCUGGAGUUCUGUAGUAACCUACAGAUUUUUGCACAGUAAAACAUCUGUAAUAUUUAUUCUUUCACCAAUUUGCAGUUUAAUCCUGUUACUCCCGCGUCUGAGAAUGACUAGAACUACAACAAAAACCCCAAAACUUCUGAUAAACCCUUCUGCCUGCUCAACAUUAUACCUGCAAACAAAGUGUCACUCAUGGACCAAAAGCUUAUUCAAAAGAUGAAACGGGUCCAUGAGGUGGCAUCAGAGUAUAGUAAGUCCUGUUAUUAUAGUUUAGAAUCAUCUCGAAAUGUUUUUUAUAUUGGCACAAUUAUUCCCCAAUAACAUACCACUGUGUGUGAUUUGGUCUGAAGAUGUUGAUUGUUUUUCUAUAACAGCAGCCCUGACUGUAGUUCUGACUGCAAAACAAAUCACAAGUUUAGAUUAAUCCGUUCAUUCUAAUAGUUUCUAUAGUAACAACUCACACAGGGACUUUUAUUUGUUCUAUGGAAGGAGUCUCCAGUUUCAACACUUUUGUAACAGUCAGAGGUAAAGCUGCAACAGAGUUUUCUGAUCUUCAGGACAGAGGAGAUUAUGAUUAGUGGUUUCUCAGGAACACGACAAGCUGUGAUUUUUAUCUUAUUAACAUCAGGGGAGAAAAUAAAGAGAGAGGCUCGUAAGAGAAACUGUUAAUUAAUUAAUUAAAGUUAAAACUUUAAUUAAUAAAAAUUGUAAUCACUGAUAAAUGACUGUGAUAAGAAUUAAACACUGCAGGAUGUGCUGUUAUAGGAAAAUCAUCUUCAUAUCAUAUUAGAAUUCCUGUUUUAGUCUUAUUGUAGAUAAACUGUUCAUCCUAUUGUACAGAUUUGCCUCAAGUUAUCAUCAUGACAAAAGUGGAUGAAGCCUGUCCUCUGGUUAAAGAUGACCAACAAACGUAACAAACCCAAAAAACUGAAGUAAAUCUAAUUAUUAAAUAUUAUUAGAUGUUUGUCAACUAUAAACAGCAAAAAGCUUGUCAGUGCAUCUGUUUAAGGAGUUAAAUAAAGUUCCGUUCUGCAACUUGUGAUUUGUUAUAAUUGUGGUAGAUUUUUACAAUUUAUUGGUUAAAUAAAUUGUUUGAUUCAUUGUUUUUUCUAUAUACUUUCAGAUGCAGGAGUGUAGUAAUCUGCUGGGUAUUCCACUGAGCCACAUCUUCCCUGUGAAGAACUACCACGAGGAGGUGGAUACGAACGAUGACAUGGAUGUUCUGAUCCUUUUUAUCUUAACAUCAGGGGAGAAAAUAAAGAGAGACUCAUUUGCCUCAAGUUAUCAUCAUGACAAAAGUGGAUGAGGCCUGCCCUCUGGUUAAACAGGACCUAAGAAAGGUCUACACCAGCAAGAAGAUCAAAGAAAAGAUUUGCCUCACGUAAUCAUCUUGAAAAAAGAGGACGAAGCCUGCAAACUGGUUAAAGAGGACCUAAGAAAGGUCUACACCAGCAAGAAGAUCAGAGAAAAGUUAAUUGUGUAAUUAAAUGGUGUAUAUUAGUGUCACAUUGUGGUGAACUCGCAACUGCAGUUCCUAGAAUGCUACAAACUACAAACAUGGCCGACAAGAACUACACUUCCUGGCCAUGCACGAACUCAAGUUCAAACAAUGACAUGGAUGUUCUGAUCCUCAAGGCGCUCGAUCAGAUCGUGAAUCUCGCCAACGAUGCUCUGGAAAACCAAAACCUUAGUGAGAAAUAUGAGUGAAGGCUUUUUUUUUGUUCUUUUCCACCCCUACACCAGUGCAGAGUAUUUAGGACAGUGAAAAGACAUGAAAUUGUGUCUAAAGUACAUUAUUAAAGUAAAGCUAAUUUCUUCUACUGUAAUCAUAACUGGUUUGUGUUUCCGUCGCUGUCAUGUUCCUACUGCACUCUGGACUUUUUAUAUUCCAUUAAGUUAAUAAAUAUAAUGAUGUUUGGUCCUA